AAAGCUAAAGGAAUCAAAAUCUUCUGAAACAAAACAUUGUUCUCGUUUGUAAUGGGAGAUUUCGCGUGCGUCUCUUUGAAACCAUCUUCACAAGUGCCCGGUUCAUCCAAAGCAGCACUCAGAUCCACAUUAGCACUUUUGUAAUCGGCGGAUUUAACGUUCAUCAAAGCUUCAUUUAAAGAAUUAUUAGCAUCGUCAUAAAGCUCUACGCAAGUGCUUAAUGCAGGUUCAGUACCCGGUGGAUACGUUUUGUUCUUGAGAAUAGUCUCAACUAUCCCUUUCAAGUUAGUUGUUUUGGACUCAGCGUUAGUAGUUGACGCUAGGACCAAUCCUGAUAGACUAGUUGCGGUUUUGCUUUGCGGAUCUUGUUCAAGUGAUUGGACGCAAAAAUCAUAAUUGAGAUUAGGGUCUUUUGCUGCAGCUGUUUUGCAGGAAUCUCGAAUCAAGGUUUGUGCGGCUGCGAAACAGUUUAGGAGGAGAAAGAACAUUACAACUGAAACGAAGAACUUCAUGAUUUUGUUUUCUUUGUGAGAGAUGAGAAGAGAUGAAUAUGAUGUUAACUUUGUGAUUCACAAGGCUGAUAUAUAUAUAUAUAUAUAUAUAUAUAUAUAUAUAUAUAUAUUUUAUAUAUUAUAUAUAUCUGACGUAAGGGUAUAUGUCAUUGUUUCCUGUUGUCUUGUGUGUUAUAAACUUAUGAUAAAAAGAAUAUUUCAGUUUUAAUAAGAAGACAUUAUUUCAUAUUAAGAACUAUGUUUACAUUUUUAAAAACUAUAAUAUAUUCACUUGGACUAUUUCUCAAAUUGUCAAUUUAACUGAACCUGGUCAAUAUGUAACAAUAGUUUUCCAUAUAUACACGUUGUCAGAUUUAGUCAACUCUCAGAGCAUCAUUACUGGUUCAAUUUCUUAGUGGAGUACCUGAUGAGUUUAAUAUUAAUAGAGUUUUAUUGUGUAAUUAAAAUUAAACCCAAUGAUAUGUACAUAACCAUUCGUAAAGUAACAUGUGGCAUAAAUCUCUGAUAAACUUGGCAAAGUCUAUGUGCGACCAGACGUUUCUUCCCAUUUGACGCUCUCUCUCUCUCCUGCUUUAUUAAUUUUUAUUAUUAUAAAUGUCAGUCUCAUGAGUUACUCUUCCACUGCAUGUGCUCUUACUUUCCAAAUCAUACAUAAAAUAUCAAAAAUGAGAUCUCUUCUACAGUUAUUAAAAAACAAAAAUAUACCUUUUAAUAUUGAUUUUCUCAAAAAUCAUAUUUGAGAUUAGGGUCUUUUGCUGCAGCUGUUUUGCAAGAAUCUCGAAUCAAGGUUUGUGCGGCAGCGAAACAAUUUAAGAGGAGAAAAAACAUUACAACUGAAACGAAGAACUUCAUGCUUUUGUUUUCUUUGUGAGAGAUGAGAAGAGAUGACUAUGAUGUUAACUUUGUGAUUCACAAAGCUGUUAUAUAAUAUAUAUAUAUAUAUAUAUAUAUAUAAUGUAAGGGUAUAUAUUCUCCUUUCUUAUAUGUCAUUAUUUCUUGUUUUCUUGUUUGUUAUGAAUUUAUCAUAAAGAGAAUAUUUCAGGUUUAAUAAGAAUAUACUAUUUCAUAUUAAGAACUCGAUUUACAUUUUUAAAAAAUCAUAAUAUAUUCACUUUUAAGGAUUAUUUCUCAAAUUAUAAAAAUCAUAAUAUAUUCACUAAUUUUCAAAAACCGGGUCCAUUAAGUUGUGAUAUAAGGACAGACCUUCACUUCUUUCUUGCACUAUUCGCAGGCCCCACUGACACGUGGCGGCCUGGAAUUGGUUCGCUUUCUAAUUUUUUUUAGCAGACCAAACAAAAAUCAAAAAAACCUUCCUAUGAAACCGCGCAGACUCAUCUCAGCGUUAAUCAUGCUCUUAGCUUUCCGUAUCAUACAUAAAAUAUCAAAAGUGAGAUGUCUUCUACAAUUAUUAAAAAUACAUAUAUAUAUAUAUAUAUAUAUAUAUAUAUAUAUAUAUAUAUAUAUAUAUAUACCUUUUAAUAUUGAUUUUCUCAUCAAUUUUUCAUAUAGAGGUCGACAUCCAAAAAUCCUAAAUAAAAGAAUUUGUAUUCACUAAAUAUUUAAGUAACAUCUGUAUCACGAAAAACCUUCAAUCUCAUUAUUUAUUCAUCACGCAAAAAAAUGAUCAGUACUACUCGUAAAAAAGUGAUGUUGUGCAUUUUUAAAAAUAAAUAUUUAAUUAUUAAAAUAAAAAUACAGACACUAUAGAAAAUUAAAUAAAAGAAAAUUCCUCAAAAACAAAAAAAAAUUGAAAAUUAAAAAAUAAAUCAAAAUAUUCAAACAAUUUUUCAAUACGUUAAAAAAAGAUUGAAAACUGAAAAAGUUACAGAAAAAAAUAUUUUAAAAUUUUCCUCACAUAUCAUCGUUGAUAAUAAUGAUUUCUGACAUAUCACUAAUGACGAUGACAAUGACAGUGAUAUGUUGAAAACCGUCAACUCAUCGAUUUGUCAACGAUGUUAAGUCGAAAAUUGUGAUCAGACACAUAAAGUAUUUUAAUUUUCUGUCUUUUUGCAAAUACUAUUUUAGUGUUUAAUAAUUUCAAUUUUCAAAUAGUAGCAAAAAUUUCCAAUAAAAUAAUGUUCCUUUGCUAUUAUUUAUUAUUAGAUAAAGGAAAAUUCAUAUCACAUAAUACAAGAAGUUAUGGUAAUUUCAUCAGAGCAUAUUUGUAAAAGCUAAAGGAAUCAAAAUCUUCUGAAACAAAACAUUGUUCUUGUUUGUAAUGGGAGAUUUCGCGUGCGUCUCUUUGAAACCAUCUUCACAAGUGCCCGGUUCAUCCGAAGCAGCACUCAGAUCCACAUUAGCACUUUUGUAAUCGGCGGAUUUAACGUUCAUCAAAGCUUCAUUUAAAGAAUUAUUAGCAUCGUCAUAAAGCUCUACGCAAGUGCUUAACGCAGGUUCAGUACCCGGUGGAUACGUUUUGUUCUUGAGAAUAGUCUCAAC
RNAcentral lists this long non-coding RNA (2951 nucleotides) under Brassica rapa (field mustard). RNAcentral describes it as "long non-coding RNA (BRAP_LNC001395)". The record is from RNAcentral. Lineage: Eukaryota; Viridiplantae; Streptophyta; Magnoliopsida; Brassicales; Brassicaceae.